Brassica rapa (field mustard) is the source of this 1614-nucleotide long non-coding RNA. RefSeq lists it as uncharacterized. NCBI's taxonomy places the organism in Eukaryota, Viridiplantae, Streptophyta, Magnoliopsida, Brassicales, Brassicaceae. The record is from RefSeq and is a predicted model, not a curated record.
CAUAUGAUACAAUCAAUACUAUUAAAACAGAAGACCCUUUUUUGAAGUGCCAUCAUGUUUCAACAAUAUUUACAAGAUUCUGCCAGUGGAUUAUUUUAAGCUAUGAUUUUAAUUAAAUUAUUUAUUUUUUGAAAUUACUAUUUUUUAAACACCUACAUCUUAUUUAAUUAAAACAUAACUAAUGUUGCUUAUUCUACAGAAAAAUCGGCAAUGGAAAUAUUUAGUAUAACAAACACGAUUUUCCUUACUUUAAUAUUUGAAUCAACCAAACAAAUAUUCCCUAUUGUCGCCUCUUAAUAAGUGUGUAACAAUAUUAGAGUCUAACAAAGGAUGCAAGUUCUUUUCCGGAUAGGAGAUUCUAGGGUUCUUAUGGAGGACAAGGAUUUUCACAAGACAAUACUUUAUUGGUUUCAUAGAUCCAGAGUGUUCUUAUAGAUGAGUGGUAUGGAUUGCUGAUGUUUAAGUGAUUAAUCAAAAUCUGGAAACAAUCACUUUCAAAAUCAAAAGCAAGAGGUCGAUCUGUUUCUUAUGGAAGAAGCUUCUCUGCCACGCUAAACUAUUCCUCUACAGAUGCUAAUGUCCGGUACCAGGUUUUUCUUAUACUUAGUUUUGAAUCUUCCAUAAAUGUUCUUGAUCUGAUAGUUAUACAAGUUAAUUGAUCUCUGACUUUAGGUAUGUUUGGUUCUCACCAUCGUUAGAAAAAAACUAUGUAGUUGAUAUUUGUGUAUUAGUCUCUCCUAAAAGAAAAUUUAUUUUCUUUCGUUACAAUGUAUAUAUUAAUGUUUGUUCUGCUUUAAUUGAGGUUUUUGGUGGAAGGGAAAGCUACUUCAAGAGCUUCCAUUCUCGAUAGACCUUCUUCUCUCAAUACUCUUCCAUUCUCGAUAGACCUUCUUCUCUCAAUACUUGAAGUCCGGUUUAUGAAGCUCACUUAGUUUUGUUUGUUUGCUUCAAAUGUUUGAUCUUUAUAGGUUGGUUGGAAAAAUAGGCUAUACCUGGGAAAACAACCCUGCUCUUUCGUUUGUGUUGAUGAAGGUAUGAUUCUCACCUGCCAUUGAAUUGCUUGAUAACAAUUUUUACCAUCAUUUAUAAAUUAAUAGAAAAGAAACAUAGUCCCCAAAAAAUACAAUAAGUAUUUUAUUAAAAUAAAAGAUGAUAUUCUUUUGAAUUACUAAUUAUAAUACACUCCAGAAUUUAUAUAUUGGAAUUUCUUUCACAAUUUCAAACACAUAAUAUAUUUAAAAUGUAUUUGUUUUGACAAAAAAAAACAUAUUCUACCCUUUUUAUAAAUUUAAUUUCAAUAGUUAAACCUUCACAACUAUGUUAGUGGUUGCAAGAAAAUAAAAUUCAUCUAAAACUUAAAUACCUUCAACUAAAAAUAUCAUUUAUAAAUAUUUUCUACACCAUCAAAAACUUUAAUCUAUUGGGUAAAAACAAAAAGAACGAAAAUAAACAAUUUACAUAAAUUUAUGUGUAUCACUAUAAUAUAAAACUUAGUUGACAAAAAAAAAACCCAAACCUUAAAUCCUUAGUUUAUAAUAAACUUACAAAUUUAUUAUCAAUUAAAUUAAAUCUUAAAUCCCAAAUAAACUGAAAUUAAAACAUAAAAUUAUAAUA